This 1004-nucleotide long non-coding RNA is filed under the name Papio anubis (olive baboon). RNAcentral describes it as "lncRNA (ENSPANG00000036397.2)". Lineage: Eukaryota; Metazoa; Chordata; Mammalia; Primates; Cercopithecidae. The record is from RNAcentral.
UUAUUUGACAAGAAAUCUUAAGAGUCCUCACUUUCUGGGAGCUCAGAGAAAGCUUUGGCAGAAAGGGCUUAACGGAACCACAGAAGGAUUCCAAGGAAGAGUUACAUUUCAGCCAAGAUUGAAGGAUGAGUAUAUUUCUCCAGGAAGUUACAGGGUAGAGAAUAAUAGAAGGCGAGAGAGGAAGAAAAGAGAAGGAUAAUUUUGCAGAGGGCAUAACAUGACCCAUGCCAGGUCGAAUGAAAAAGGCAAAGACAUUGGGGAUGGAAGAUGACCUGUUACUGAGAGUGAUCAUAAGCCAGUUGCUCAAAGACCGGUGUGGAAAGGGCUUAAGAAGGAAGAGGACCAGAGGGAAAUUACCAUCUGGAGACAAGAUGACACUGGGAACUUGGAGGAAAACGUUCAGGUACCGUAUGAGGAAGCAGAACACUGGUUGUAGGUUGUGUAUCAAUGGCUUUCUAUGAGUAAAUGACCUGAAAAUGUAUGUGACUAAGCACCAUAAUGUGGAUUUCUGAAAGCUGAAUGACUUAAAGAAAAAUCUGCUUAUUUCUAAGAAAACCAACAAGUGGUUUCUUUCAGUAAGUUAUUAAAUUUAUUUAAGGCAUGAAUGAUCUAUUAUGUAAGGAAAGUGUUUGAAUACAGGUAUUCUGUCCUUAAGUUUGGACAUUCCUGGAAACCAAACAGCCUAUAAUGCAAAGCUCUGCUGUGUGCAGAUCUGUCCUUCUUUCACUAGUCUCUUCUAUAUUUAUAAUGUUUCUAGUCAUAGUUUAUGUGAAUAAUAAAGGCUGUGGAGUCCCUUGGAAUUCUUAUUUAAUAUGCUGCCAUUUCCUUAAUUAUUAAAAGCUUUUACACCUUCAUAAGAGAUGCUUAGUUGCUAGAGCCUCUCCAUACACUAAUUCCCAGAAGAUGCUUAAGAAAUGAGUCCCAGGAAGGUGUCCAUUGCAGGAAUUCUGGAUAGGACUCUGAGCUUAUGGACAGAUUUUGAUGCAAACUGACUUGAGACAGCG